AGAUAGAGAACUUCAUCACAAAGGCAAGAAGACAAUACAUGUGCCCCUACCAUUUUCUCAAUUAAUCAUGUAUGAUCGAUGGUGAUGAUGAUGUACAUCAUGUAUUAAUUAUAUCAUGUACGUAAUAUGUGUAUCUUUAAUCCCCCUCUGUCCUCCCCCCCAUCAGCUUGCAACUUCCUUUCCUUGACCGUCUCUAAUCAGAUCGAUUCUACAGAGAAAAGUGCUGGAUAUAUACAGUUUUUUUCCAGUGAGCUCAGAUAAGGUGAGCGUUACGUUGGAUAUUGUGUAAAGCCAUCUGAAUUGUCUUUUAAUUAUAUUAUUUUAAUUUUUAAUAUUUUGGUUGCACACAUCCACCCUCAUACAGAUUUGAACAUUAUUGAGCUUAUAUUAGGUGAGCUCACUGGAAUUUUAUUUAACUCACUGGAAUUGAGCU
Molecule: long non-coding RNA, 433 nt
Filed under: Zostera marina
Lineage: Eukaryota; Viridiplantae; Streptophyta; Magnoliopsida; Alismatales; Zosteraceae
Description: long non-coding RNA (ZMAR_LNC002146)
Source: RNAcentral